UGAGUACGAGACGCUAAGGCGUCGAAGUAGUGGAUGUCAUACUUCCAAGAAAAGCUUGCACUGUCAUAAAUAAAGGACGCCUGUACCAUAACCGACACAGGUGGGUAGGUAGAGUAUACUAAGGGGCGCGAGAUAACUCUCUCUAAGGAACUCGGCAAAAUAACUCCGUAACUUCGGGAGAAGGAGUGCCUAUUCGUAAGGCUGCAAUAACAAGAUCCAAGCAACUGUUUAUCAAAAACACAGGUCUCCGCUAAGUCGUAAGACGAUGUAUGGGGGCUGACGCCUGCCCAGUGCCAGAAGGUUAAAGAAGUCGGUUAGCAUUAGCGAAGCUGGUAACUGAAGCCCUGGUGAACGGCGGCCGUAACAAUAACGGUCCUAAGGUAGCGAAAUUCCCUGUCGGGUAAGUUCCGACCCGCACGAAAGGCGUAAUGAUUUGGAUACUGUCUCGGAGAGGGGCUCGGUGAAAUAGACUUGUCUGUGAAGAUGCGGACUACCUGCACCAGGACAGAAAGACCCUAUGAAGCUUUACUGUAACUUGAAAUUGAAAUUGGACUUUAUUCGCGCAGUAUAGGUGGGAGGUGUUGAUUAUAAUCUUGCGGGAUUAUUGGAGCCAUCAGUGAGAUACCACUCUUGUAAUGUUAGAUUUCUAACUUUGAAUCAUUAUCUGGUCAAAGAACAGUUUCAGGCGGGCAGUUUGACUGGGGCGGUCGCCUCCUAAAUGGUAACGGAGGCGUACAAAGGUUUCCUCUGAACGGGUAGAAAUCGUAUCUAGAGUGUAAAGGCAUAAGGAAGCUUGGCUGUGAGACCUACAAGUCGAGCAGGGACGAAAGUCGGUCUUAGUGAUCUGACGGUACUGAGUGGAAAGGCCGUCACUCAACGGAUAAAAGUUACUCUAAGGAUAACAGGCUGAUCUCCCCCAAGAGUUCACAUCGACGGGGAGGUUUGGCACCUCGAUGUCGGCUCAUCGCAUCCUGGGGCGGUAGUACGUCCCAAGGGUUGGGCUGUUCGCCCAUGAAAGCGGUACGCGAGCUGGGUUCAGAACGUCGUGAGACAGUUCGGUCCAUAUCCGGUGUAGGCGUUAGAAUAUUGAGAGGAGCCUUCUUUAGUACGAGAGGACCGAGAAGGACAUACCUCUGGUGUACCAGUUAUCGUGCCAACGGUAAACGCUGGGUAGCUAUGUAUGGAGUGGAUAACCGCUGAAAGCAUCUAAGUGGGAAGCCCACCUCAAGAUAAG
RNAcentral lists this ribosomal RNA (1234 nucleotides) under metagenome. Its description in RNAcentral is "bacterial LSU rRNA". It matches the Rfam family "Bacterial large subunit ribosomal RNA", at positions 1564 to 2808 of the family's 2925-position model. The record is from RNAcentral.